RNAcentral lists this ribosomal RNA (306 nucleotides) under Triticum aestivum (bread wheat). RNAcentral's name for it is "partial small subunit ribosomal RNA". The record is from RNAcentral. Lineage: Eukaryota; Viridiplantae; Streptophyta; Magnoliopsida; Poales; Poaceae.
AUGGCAAUCAUUGCAGCAAUGCCGACAAGCAUGCCUCUGCACACCAGCACAAGCAACACUCAAGCAGAUGAAAUAACCACCAUUAUUGAAGUAAAUGCUGAAAUUGAUGACGAAGCGCAAGGGGAAGAAGAAGAUGGACAAUCAGAAAUCAUGAUACCUCAACCACCAUAUCUUGGACAGAGAUUUGAUACUUUUGAAGAUGCCAAGGAGUACUACCAGAGAUAUGCGAUGUUCCAUGGAUUUGCGGUGAACACAGAAUACCAUAGGAAAAUUAAAAAACUAACGAGUACAGCAGAGGUGAGAUAA